CAGCAACCAUCCCAGACCUGCUAGGUUCCCAGGACAGCCCACACAGCCUGCACGCUCAGAAUGCUGUGAAACCUUCUUACGGGGACAUGCAUCUCAGGUCAUCUCAGCAGCUCACUUUACGCAGAGAAUGAAGACGGCGAUAACAAGAGGAGAAUACUUCCUUCCGGGAUAUCACUGACCUCUGUUGCCAGGAUGCAUAGAAUCUCAUGUGAGGUCCCAGUGACGGCAGUUCCAGGGAAACACCUGGCAGAUGGAGCGCUCCCGACUGCCCAUGCCAUCACUACUGCCCCUCCACUCCUCUGCACCUAGGCUGUUAGCGGAAAAGUACAGUGUUUCAGAAGUUACAGAAGAUGAACAAUAUAACACGGGUUGUACAUUAGUUGAUUUUGUCCAACUGUAGACUAAUCCAAAUAUUCUGCACAUAUUUAAGGACUGUGUAAAGAACCAGACCAAAGCGUUUCAGCACAGAGCUCUUGCAGCUGCCUAUGACUACGUCAUACACAAGUUCCCCCAUAACCCAUCUUUGGCUGCCAAUCUAAAGAGGUCUGUCUUUGGUGUGAGCUUGUCCUUGGCUCUCCCAUCAGUGUCCCAGGGUCAGACCUUCUGAAUUCUUGCUUUUCACUCUCCCACCCAGCAGCAGCAGACGCCGGAAGUUCUCUGUGUACUGUUUUUAUGUCAGAAUCGUGGCAGACAAACCUGGAAAAACCCUCAUGAGAUCCUAGAGAGAAAGAAAUCUAUUCUUCAGUAUAUGACUGCUGUUGGGGCUGGAGGAAAGCUACGGUAUUAAAAGGAAGUGAGAACCCAAGCCAGACACCAGCAAGAGCCUACAGAGAGAAUGGCAUGGAUUGUAAACGUCAAAGGUCCUUUAUCAUAUCUAACACAGCAUGGAAGAGAGGCAUAGAGUGCAUCCAAAUAAACACUGUUUGCAUCCAUGAGGCCUUCAGAGAUGAAGAGCACUUCCUCCUCAGACCAUAUCACAUGCUCAAGUUCAAAUCCCAAGUGUGGGCAGUAGGACACAUGUACACAUAACUACUUUAUGUAUUUUAAAACUUUUUAUUCUUUGUGUUUUUUCACAUCAUGAAUCUCGAUCUCAUUCAUUUCCUGUCCCAUCAUAUCCAUCCUUUGCUU
This is a non-coding RNA of Peromyscus maniculatus bairdii (prairie deer mouse), 1128 nucleotides long. NCBI's taxonomy places the organism in Eukaryota, Metazoa, Chordata, Mammalia, Rodentia, Cricetidae. The record is from RefSeq and is a predicted model, not a curated record.